Molecule: ribosomal RNA, 239 nt
Filed under: uncultured bacterium
Lineage: Bacteria
Description: partial 16S ribosomal RNA
Rfam family: Bacterial small subunit ribosomal RNA
Source: RNAcentral
ACGGCGGACGGGUGAGUAACGCGUGGGUAACCUACCCUGUACACACGGAUAACAUACCGAAAGGUAUGCUAAUACGGGAUAAUAUAUUUGAGAGGCAUCUCUUAAAUAUCAAGGGUGAGCCAGUACAGGAUGGACCCGCGUCUGAUUAGCUAGUUGGUAAGGUAACGGCUUACCAAGGCGACGAUCAGUAGCCGACCUGAGAGGGUGAUCGGCCACAUUGGAACUGAGACACGGUCCAA